GACUCUCGGCAAUAGAUAUCUCGAAUCUCGCAUCGAUGACGAACGUAGCAAAAUGCGAUACCUUGUGUGAAUUGUAGAAUCCCGUGAAUCAUCGAGUAUUUGAACCUAAGUUGCAUCCAAAGCCAUUAGGCCGAGGGCACAUCAGCCUGGGCGUCA
Molecule: ribosomal RNA, 156 nt
Organism: Solanum pennellii
Lineage: Eukaryota; Viridiplantae; Streptophyta; Magnoliopsida; Solanales; Solanaceae
Product: 5.8S ribosomal RNA
Exons: 1
Source: RefSeq, a predicted model, not a curated record